This 433-nucleotide ribosomal RNA is filed under the name uncultured bacterium. RNAcentral's name for it is "partial 16S ribosomal RNA". It matches the Rfam family "Bacterial small subunit ribosomal RNA", at positions 29 to 507 of the family's 1533-position model. The record is from RNAcentral.
AACGAACGCUGGCGGCAGGCCUAACACAUGCAAGUCGAGCGGACCUUUCGGGGUCAGCGGCGGACGGGUGAGUAACGCGUGGGCAUAUGCCCUUCUCUACGGAAUAGUCCCGGGAAACUGGGGGUAAUACCGUAUACGCCCUUUGGGGGAAAGAUUUAUCGGGGAAGGAUUAGCCCGCGCUGGAUUAAGUAGUUGGUGGGGUAAUGGCCUACCAAGCCGACGAUCCAUAGCUGGUUUGAGAGGAUGAUCAGCCACACUGGGACUGAGACACGGCCCAGACUCCGACGGGAAGCAGCAGUAGGGAAUCUUAGACAAUGGGAGCAACCCUGAUCUAGCCAUGCCGCGUAAGUGAUGAAGGCCUUAGGGUUGUAAAGCUCUUUCAGCUGGGAAGAUAAUGACGGUACCAUCAGAAGAAGCCCCGGCUAACUCCGUG